GACGAACGCUGGCGGCGCGCUUAACACAUGCAAGUCGAACGGAAAGACCUGCUUUCCCUUGUGGAUUGCGGGUACUCGAGUGGCGAACGGGUGAGUAACACGUGAGUGAUCUGCCCCCAACUUGGGUAUAAGCCUGGGAAACUGGGUCUAAUUCCCGAUAGGACUGCAGGGUGGUGCCUGUGGUGGAAAACGAUUUUCUAGUGGUUGGGGAUGAGCUCGCGGCCUAUCAGCUUGUUGGUGGGGUAAUGGCCUACCAAGGCGGCGACGGGUAGCCGGCCUGAGAGGGUGGACGGCCACAUUGGGACUGAGAUACGGCCCAGACUCCUACGGGAGGCAGCAGUGGGGAAUAUUACACAAUGGGCGGAAGCCUGAUGCAGCGACGCCGCGUGGGGGAUGACGGCCUUCGGGUUGUAAACUCCUUUCGACCGCGAGGAAGCCACCUGGUUGGAAGGGUGGUGACGGUAGUGGUAGAAGAAGCACCGGCUAACUACGUG
RNAcentral lists this ribosomal RNA (494 nucleotides) under uncultured bacterium. RNAcentral describes it as "partial 16S ribosomal RNA". It matches the Rfam family "Bacterial small subunit ribosomal RNA", at positions 28 to 507 of the family's 1533-position model. The record is from RNAcentral.